RNAcentral lists this ribosomal RNA (532 nucleotides) under uncultured bacterium. Its description in RNAcentral is "bacterial SSU rRNA". It matches the Rfam family "Bacterial small subunit ribosomal RNA", at positions 348 to 896 of the family's 1533-position model. The record is from RNAcentral.
CGUGCAGUCGGGAAUUUGCCCAAUGGACGAAAGUCUGAGGCAGCAACCCCGCGUGAGGGAUGAAGGCCUUCGGGUCGUAAACCUCUUUUCCCAGGGAAGAUCCAAGACGGUACCUGGGGAAUAAGCCACGGCUAACUACGUGCCAGCAGCCGCGGUAAUACGUAGGUGGCGAGCGUUGUCCGGAUUUACUGGGCGUAAAGCGCGCGCAGGCGGCUGGCCAAGUCCGAUGUGAAAGCUUCCGGCUCAACUGGAAAACGGCAUUGGAUACUGGUCGGCUGGAAGGUGGGAGAGGGUAGCGGAAUUCCCGGUGUAGUGGUGAAAUGCGUAGAUAUCGGGAGGAACACCAGUGGCGAAAGCGGCUACCUGGCCCACUCUUGACGCUGAGGCGCGAAAGCUAGGGGAGCAAACGGGAUUAGAUACCCCGGUAGUCCUAGCCGUAAACGAUGAACACUAGGCGUUGUCGGUAUCGACCCCGGCAGUGCCGAAGCUAACGCAUUAAGUGUUCCGCCUGGGGAGUACGGCCGCAAGGCUA